AAAAAGAUCCUCUUCU
Molecule: small RNA, 16 nt
Filed under: Arabidopsis thaliana (thale cress)
Lineage: Eukaryota; Viridiplantae; Streptophyta; Magnoliopsida; Brassicales; Brassicaceae
Description: ATSL127560
Source: RNAcentral